Molecule: ribosomal RNA, 372 nt
Filed under: uncultured organism
Description: bacterial SSU rRNA
Rfam family: Bacterial small subunit ribosomal RNA
Source: RNAcentral
CAGAGGUGGCAAGCGUUGUUCGGAAUUACUGGGCGUAAAGGGCGCGUAGGCGGCCCACUAAGUCAGACGUGAAAUCCCCCGGCUUAACCUGGGAACUGCGUCUGAUACUGGAGGGCUUGAGUAUGGGAGAGGGAUGUAGAAUUCCAGGUGUAGCGGUGAAAUGCGUAGAUAUCUGGAGGAAUACCGGUGGCGAAGGCGGCAUCCUGGACCAUUACUGACGCUGAGGCGCGAAAGCUAGGGGAGCAAACGGGAUUAGAUACCCCGGUAGUCCUAGCCCUAAACGAUGAAUGCUUGGUGUGGCGGGUAUCGAUCCCUGCCGUGCCGAAGCUAACGCAUUAAGCAUUCCGCCUGGGGAGUACGGUCGCAAGGCUG